This 465-nucleotide ribosomal RNA is filed under the name Vreelandella stevensii. RNAcentral's name for it is "partial 16S ribosomal RNA". It matches the Rfam family "Bacterial small subunit ribosomal RNA", at positions 338 to 795 of the family's 1533-position model. Lineage: Bacteria; Pseudomonadati; Pseudomonadota; Gammaproteobacteria; Oceanospirillales; Halomonadaceae. The record is from RNAcentral.
CCUACGGGGGGCAGCAGUGGGGAAUAUUGGACAAUGGGGGGAACCCUGAUCCAGCCAUGCCGCGUGUGUGAAGAAGGCCCUCGGGUUGUAAAGCACUUUCAGUGAGGAAGAACGCCUGGUGGUUAAUACCCAUCAGGAAAGACAUCACUCACAGAAGAAGCACCGGCUAACUCCGUGCCAGCAGCCGCGGUAAUACGGAGGGUGCGAGCGUUAAUCGGAAUUACUGGGCGUAAAGCGCGCGUAGGUGGCUUGAUAAGCCGGUUGUGAAAGCCCCGGGCUCAACCUGGGAACGGCAUCCGGAACUGUCAAGCUAGAGUGCAGGAGAGGAAGGUAGAAUUCCCGGUGUAGCGGUGAAAUGCGUAGAGAUCGGGAGGAAUACCAGUGGCGAAGGCGGCCUUCUGGACUGACACUGACACUGAGGUGCGAAAGCGUUGGUAGCAAACAGGAUUAGAUACCCUAGUAGUC